GUAAGUCAGUGGUGAAAGUCUGCAGCUUAAAGGAGAACUGCCAUUGAUACUGCACACCUUGAGUAAUUAUGAAGUGGUUAGAAUAUGUAGUGUAGCGGUGAAAUGCAUAGAUAUUACAUAGAAUACCGAUUGCGAAGGCAGAUCACUAAUAAUUUACUGACGCUGAUGGACGAAAGCGUGGUAGCGAACAGGAUUAGAUACCCUGGUAGUCUACGCCGUAAACGAUGGUUACUAGCUGUUUGGUCUAAUUGAGGCCUGAGUGGCUAAGCGAAAGUGAUAAGUAACCCACCUGGGGAGUACGUUCGCAAGAAUGAAACUCAAAGGAAUUGACGGGGGCCCGCACAAGCGGGGGAGCAUGUGGUUUAAUUCGAUGAUACGCGAGGAACCUUACCAGGGCUUAAAUGU
This 405-nucleotide ribosomal RNA is filed under the name Bacteroidetes bacterium AH7. RNAcentral describes it as "bacterial SSU rRNA". It matches the Rfam family "Bacterial small subunit ribosomal RNA", at positions 583 to 988 of the family's 1533-position model. The record is from RNAcentral. Lineage: Bacteria; Pseudomonadati; Bacteroidota.